Molecule: transfer RNA, 77 nt
Filed under: Chitinophaga sp. CF118
Lineage: Bacteria; Pseudomonadati; Bacteroidota; Chitinophagia; Chitinophagales; Chitinophagaceae
Description: tRNA_Asn_GTT
Rfam family: tRNA
About the family: Transfer RNA (tRNA) molecules are approximately 80 nucleotides in length. Their secondary structure includes four short double-helical elements and three loops (D, anti-codon, and T loops). Further hydrogen bonds mediate the characteristic L-shaped molecular structure. tRNAs have two regions of fundamental functional importance: the anti-codon, which is responsible for specific mRNA codon recognition, and the 3' end, to which the tRNAs corresponding amino acid is attached (by aminoacyl-tRNA synthetases). tRNAs cope with the degeneracy of the genetic code in two manners: having more than one tRNA (with a specific anti-codon) for a particular amino acid; and 'wobble' base-pairing, i.e. permitting non-standard base-pairing at the 3rd anti-codon position.
Source: RNAcentral
UUCGUUGUAGCUCAGUGGAAGAGCGGUUCCGGUCUUCGUGCCGGAAAUGGUCAUGAGUUCAAUUCUCAUCAGCGGUA